Vidua macroura (Pin-tailed whydah) is the source of this 596-nucleotide long non-coding RNA. RefSeq lists it as uncharacterized. The transcript has 2 exons. NCBI's taxonomy places the organism in Eukaryota, Metazoa, Chordata, Aves, Passeriformes, Viduidae. The record is from RefSeq and is a predicted model, not a curated record.
UGUUCGCGCUCACUCCUUCCCUCUUCUUUCCGAGGGACGGCCGCGGUUCUCCCGUCGGUCCCCGUGCGGGUGGGCCUGCCCCCCGCGGUGCUGCGGCCUCGUUCUCUGACACCUCUUGGUUUUUCGCUCAGUUGCCUUUCCCGUUGUUCCCGGGCCGUUCAUCUCUGUAAUAUCGUCUGCUUAAACUGAGUCCACCCUAGAAGUGCCCAUCGCCCCUCCGCCCGCCCAAAUUCCCAAAAUUUAACUCCCAGAAGUCGCUUUGCUCAUGAGCACCCUGAAGAUCCAGCCAAACCCUUGCUUGGAGUUCAGAGGUUAAAAGGCCCCGUUGCACCUAAACCCUGUGCGGACCCUUGGGACAUGAGGUGUUUCAUGACUGUUCCAGAGCUUCAGGAGCUCCCAGUCACCAUCCCUGAAGCUCCUACUCUAAUUACUCCUCUUUGAAGAGUGGUGAAUAUACAGCACAACUGUGGAACAAGACCCAGCUAUAGCAAAGCUGCUGUUCCUCCUCCUCCUUGUGCUCUCCUACUCCACAUUGAACAGCACUCAGGCAGUGGCUCAUCCAAUAGGAAUAUAUUAAUAUAUUAAUUUAAAUACCA